AUUAUAGUAAAGUUCUGAGGACCCUAUAAAAAAUAAAGGCGGAAGGAGCUAUUAUUUACUGAAAAAACUGCCUGAAGGUCGCAGGGUUGAAGGCAACAUUUGAAGGAAAUACUUUUCUAUACUGGGUUCGAAAUAUCUUUACUAUAAUUGCUUUACAAGUCAGUCACCCUGUUUUAUAUAAGUUUAUUUAGGCAAUAUAUUAAAUCAAACUACAAGGUUGCGGUGACCGGUUACUCAGUGAUCAAAUUAACUACGAGUAUGAAAAUUAUUAACUAGUAAUAGUAUGCGCAAUGAUAUCUGAGCAAGAUUCGUUAGGUCCACUAUGAGCGUUCAGAGUUGGCUAGCAACUAAAUAUGAAUCCCAGCUUUCAUUGAGCUUUUUGCAUACGAGACACAUAAAAUUGGAGGCAUUAUAUCUAAUUAGUGAUUGAUCGGGAAUAGGAAAAUUAUGUGCAUUAGUUUUGUUAUUCUUUUUAUGCGACAAAUUUGUGUGGGCAUGACUGAUGAUAUCACACCUAUUUUUGUGUAUACUGCCCUCUGCAGGGAAGUUGACACUUUGAGCCCAGUUUGUCAAUCCGGAAGCGUAAAGUUUGACUGUGAAGUUGAUAUUACAUAACUGGUGACCUGGGGGAGAACAGAAUCAUUGCACAACACCUUGCUUGUAUUUGCUUUGCAAUGUCAAAUUUAAGUUCUACGUUACUAGGUCCAGGGUAGCCGUUGCUUUGGUGAUCCAGGGUAGAAUUUUACCAUCUGCAUUUCCAAGGACAGAGGCUACAAAAGCGGAAGUGGUAAUACAACAUAACCAAGAAGGUUAUACUUCAACUGCAACUUUCACAUAUUCAGCAAUGCCUGUAAACAACCUCAUAAUACUGGUGGAGUACUCAAAGAAGCAGGUCAAAGAAGAAGCAUGAAAUCUCACCAGCCAAUAUAAAAGGAUCAACAAUUGCUAAAAGUGUUGUUGUAUUGUCAUCAAUUAUAUAUAUACUUUGAAGAUUUUAAGAAUAAAAUACCUAUCAGGAAGUAAUCAAUUUAUACAGUUAUAAAGUAUCAAAGUUGCAGUCCAAUGACAUUUUUAGGAAACACAGACAAGAUGCAUAAAAUAGUUUACAUCUUGAUUGUUUUGAUUUCCUGUACAUUUGCAGAUGUUACAUUUGUUACCAGGCCACCAGGAGAGGUGAGGACAUUCCCAGGACGGCAGGUUACAUUGCCCUGUGCAGUGGAAAACUUUAAUGAAAACCACAGAGUCCGUUGGCUUCAGAUUGAAAACAGUGGAAUAAACCAUAUUUCA
This is a long non-coding RNA of Anneissia japonica, 1287 nucleotides long. RefSeq lists it as uncharacterized. NCBI's taxonomy places the organism in Eukaryota, Metazoa, Echinodermata, Crinoidea, Comatulida, Comatulidae. The transcript has 3 exons. The record is from RefSeq and is a predicted model, not a curated record.